CUCAUAAAAAAGUGAAUUGAAUUCUGCUGCAAAUAAGUCAUCAUUAACACACAUUUCCUUUUCGUUUUUCUUUUUUUACUGUAGCCAUUGAUAUUUUAACGAAAUUAGAAGCACCCCAUUAAGUGGUAUCAUAACUUUUUAAGCUGAUAUUGUAUUUUUCCCCCCAUUUCGAAUGGAGCCCUGUCAAGACGCUGUAAUGUAUGAAAAAUUGCAAAUCUAACCUCAAAAUUACAAAAAUGGCGAAGUUUCUUCUUUGUGGUAUUGAUCCUUAGCCAUCAGUAUAUUAGUUGAGGGACUUGGACAAGGCGCACAAGUGUAACUUUUGAAAAAAUUGAGAUAUUAAUGAUUCCAAGUCAAACUAGUCUUAAUGCAUACUCUGUGAAAAAGUCGCUCCCGAAUUCCAAGUUUUAAGCAUCAAAACUUCAGUUUGAACUUUCUUUCCGCCACAAGGAUCCAUGUAAUUUUGAAACUUCAAACACGCAUUCCUUGAAAUAACAAUAACUGCACGUAAAAGCCUUGUCCUCCAAGCCCUUCAAUUCUACAAUUUUGAACAAAAUUACGAAACUUCCAAGUUGUGUAGUCUUUGAAAGCAGUCAUUCACUUGUGAUAGAAUAUUUGCCUCUUCUCAGUUGAAUAUAUUGAAAUCAACCAUAAUAGCUAUCCCGAAUCUCCUCUAUCUAUAUUCCCCCGACGCCCGACAACAAUGUCUCGGCGCCGGGCGUGUAAUUACCGCGGAUUAACAUCGCAACUCCCGAGUAGGCAGUUGGGUCAUCACACGUACUUUUAAUUUUAGUUACGCUCUGAAAAUGCGUACAUAUUAACCAUAUCGGCUAGUCGCACAAAUGACUAUAUACGCAUAAACAUUAACUUAUUCCCCUUAGUCUAGUCUCAGUCUGGAUGCGGCGCAGGACGCCUGGAUCGCAUUGUACACCUACCGUGUUUACCGUAGGCUUUAGGAUGACCUUUGUCAAAUCCAUCAGAAUCACGGUUCCUCGGGUCAAUAUGUUUAAUAGUCAUAGCAUCAGAGACCACUGCACAAUUUUAUGAUAAUCAAAAGUUCAUAACUGGGCUCAAGUUGGCAUUAAAUAUGUACAGACAGUGUGAAAAGCAAGACAUAAUGAUAUGCUUGAAGUCAAGAGCCCUUAAAAUUAAUAGAGCGGGCGUCGAACUCAAAAAGUAUUCCUAUCUAUGAUGGUAGUAUAAAUUGUAAUAUUUUAUGGUUUUUUUCGUAAUCGGUUUCAAGAAUUAUUUCUAAGUGGGUUUUUUCAGUAGACAUUUCAUUUGAUG
RNAcentral lists this long non-coding RNA (1287 nucleotides) under Bemisia tabaci. RNAcentral's name for it is "lncRNA ENSSWEETPG005534". Lineage: Eukaryota; Metazoa; Arthropoda; Insecta; Hemiptera; Aleyrodidae. The record is from RNAcentral.